GGUGGCUCAGUGGUAGAGCACUUGCCUAGCAUGCAUGAGGCCCUGGGUUCAAUUCCUCAGCACCA
Non-coding RNA from Dipodomys ordii (Ord's kangaroo rat), 65 nucleotides. NCBI's taxonomy places the organism in Eukaryota, Metazoa, Chordata, Mammalia, Rodentia, Heteromyidae. The record is from Rfam.